Talpa occidentalis (Iberian mole) is the source of this 444-nucleotide non-coding RNA. NCBI's taxonomy places the organism in Eukaryota, Metazoa, Chordata, Mammalia, Eulipotyphla, Talpidae. The record is from the annotation of a RefSeq genome assembly.
AUGUUCCUGUUUGUCAUCUCAGUACUGGAGAUAAUUUCCCUGAGAGAUGCCAAGGCCCAGUCAGUGACCCAGCUGAAUGCUCAUCUCUCGGUCUCUGAAGGAAACUCAGUGGAGCUGAAGUGCAACUAUUCAUAUGGUGCAACUCCUAAUCGCUACUGGUUCGUCCAAUACCCCAACCAAGGCCUCCAGCUUCUCGUGAAGUCCUUAUCACUGGAGCCCCUGGUAAAAGGCAUUAAAGAUUUUGAAGCUGAAUUUAGGAAAAAUGACUCUUCUUUUAACCUGAAAAAGUCCUCAGCCCACUGGAGCGACUCGGCCCGGUACUUCUGUGCUGUGAGUGACACAGUGACUGAGGCUGCAGGGGGAGCUGAGCACAAACCACCCAUCGUGGAGUUUUUGACUCAAGAUCUCCUCCUCUGGUACUUUAAAACAUCUCUUGCUUUUUGA